Non-coding RNA from Eucalyptus grandis, 64 nucleotides. NCBI's taxonomy places the organism in Eukaryota, Viridiplantae, Streptophyta, Magnoliopsida, Myrtales, Myrtaceae. The record is from Rfam.
GGAUAGCUCAGUUGGGAGAGCGUCAGACUGAAGAUCUGAAGGUCGCGUGUUCAUGUUGAAGCCU